AAAAGCUAACUUUCGCAUGAAAGAAGUUUUAAAAAGGACGGCGUAAAGCUGUCGCUAAAGGAUGGACCUGCGAUGCAUUAGCUAGUUGGUAAGGUAACGGCUUACCAAGGCGAUGAUGCAUAGCCCGAGUUGAGAGACUGAUCGGCCACAUUGGGACUGAGACACGGCCCAAACUCCUACGGGAGGCAGCAGUAGGGAAUCUUCCACAAUGGACGAAAGUCUGAUGGAGCAACGCCGCGUGAGUGAAGAAGGUUUUCGGAUCGUAAAGCUCUGUUGUUGGUGAAGAAGGAUAGAGGUAGUAACUGGCCUUUAUUUGACGGUAAUCAACCAGAAAGUCACGGCUAACUACGUGCCAGCAGCCGCGGUAAU
RNAcentral lists this ribosomal RNA (369 nucleotides) under uncultured Lactobacillus sp. Its description in RNAcentral is "bacterial SSU rRNA". It matches the Rfam family "Bacterial small subunit ribosomal RNA", at positions 165 to 524 of the family's 1533-position model. The record is from RNAcentral. Lineage: Bacteria; Bacillati; Bacillota; Bacilli; Lactobacillales; Lactobacillaceae.